AGGGAAUAUUGCACAAUGGAGGAAACUCUGAUGCAGCGACGCCGCGUGAGUGAUGAAGGACUUCGGUUCGUAAAGCUCUGUUGCAAGGGAAAAAGUUCUGAUUGUACCUUGUGAGGAAGGAUCGGCUAACUUCGUGCCAGCAGCCGCGGUAAGACGAGGGAUCCUAGCGUUGUUCGGAAUCAUUGGGCGUAAAGCGGGUGUAGGUGGCUUUGUAAGUCAGGUGUGAAAUCCCAGGGCUUAACCCUGGAAGUGCAUUUGAUACUGCGAAGCUUGAGUGCCGGAGAGGUUAUUAGAAUACCUGGUGUAGUGGUGAAAUACGUAGAUAUCAGGUGGAACACCGGAGGCGAAGGCGGAUAACUGGCCGGACACUGACACUCAGACCCGAAAGCGUGGGGAUCAAAC
Molecule: ribosomal RNA, 402 nt
Filed under: uncultured bacterium
Lineage: Bacteria
Description: bacterial SSU rRNA
Rfam family: Bacterial small subunit ribosomal RNA
Source: RNAcentral